AUGAGGCGUGAAGGGAGGGACGCGCGCGGCCACGCUCCCCGCAGGACGCGGCUCCGGACCCGGCGUCGGGGCUCCGCGGGACCCAGGUGUUCCCGAGGGGAAGAAACUGGCAGAAAGUGGACGCCUCCGCCCGCUGCCCCCCCCCCCCCACACACACACACAGGUAACGGCACCACAGCUGCCUUCCGCACACGCGGCUCCCGGCGCCAACGCCAACGCCUCCGCGCCCUCCGGGACCCUCCGACCCCGGCUCAAGCUCCUCCCCGCCCGCGGGCCCCGGCGGGAGCGGCGGCGGCGGCGGCGGGGAGCGGGGAGCGGGGAGCGGGCCGCGCUCGCUGCCAUUGGCUGUGCGGCCCGAGGGGCGGGGGCCCCGCAGUCCCGCCGGCUCCGCGGCCCCGGCUCCCGCCCGCCCUCCCGCAGCCGGUGCGCUCGAGCCCUGCGCUCCCCGGACGGCCGCGCGGGGGCGGGGCGCCGAGGCGGGGGCGGGGGCGGGGCGCGGCGGGGCGCGGGCGGGGCGCGGGCGGGGAGCUCAGCGCAGCUCCAGUCCGGGCCGGGCCGGCGCGCCGCGGGAGGGGAGGUCGCCGCGCGCGGGCUCGCAGGUCAGUGCAGGCUCCCGGCGCCGCCUCGAGCGGGGCGGGGCGUGGGGGCCGGGGCCGGGGCGGGGGCCGGGGCGCCGGGCCCUGGGGGCGGGCUCGCCCUCCGCGGGGAGCGCCCUGCCUCCUCUCCUGGGGCGGCCUCCGCUCCCUCCGAGCGCCCCCCCCGCGGCUCUCCGCGGCUCCCAGGGGUGUGGCUCCGUCCUGGGAGCCCCCUGAGUGCAUCCCCUCGGCGGCCAGCAGGCUCCGCGGGUCGGCGGUCGCGAUCCUCGGGAGGACCCGGCGGGGCUGCGCAGGGCCGCGGCCCCGGGACGACCCGCUCCUGUCCCGGACACAGCCGGGAGGAUCUGCCCUCGCGAGCGCUGCUGCAAGCAUUGAUUCCGCCGUCAAGUGUAGGCAGUUCCACACUUUGCGGAACGCGCUUCUAGGUGCAUCUGUUUGCUUUUGCCUUUGUGGUGUGUGCGGUCACCUCUGUUUGUUUUGCUUCUAUCCGGGUUUACAGGGUCGUCUGUCCCCUCCGGGCACUCCCCGCGUGCACUGCCGGCCUUGCACCUUCGCGCGCCCGCAGAGCCUUUGCACCCGUCUUAGGUGCUUCAAAUCCGGGCAGAAUGCUCUGAAGAGAUUGACACAUGUUCAUGGUUCUCAUUAAAGAAGCUUCAUGUAAGGAGUUGAUGCGGACUCAGAGAUAUGUGUGCAAACCUCAAGGGGCAGAAUUUCACACAAACCACUUGACAAGUCGGAGUGGACCUCUUCAAGGUGGAUAUCAGUUCAUUUCACUCUGCUGGACGCUUGAGGUAGAACUCAACUGAGGCAGCCUCACAGUGGGUGCUGAAUAUGGACUCUUGUGCUUCAUUUCUCUUACAAAACCGUGACACCAACCAAGCUAGCAGAAACUGGCAAAAUUAAGUCUGAUCUCCUUAGAAGAUAGUCUCCAUAUUUAAAAGAUAAAGUGGAAACACCAAAUUAAAAAAAAAAAAAAAAGGAGUCAAUUUAGAUUUAAUAUAUAAUAUUCCUAAAACCGGAGGCAAAAUAUGCUAAAUGUUUUAUUUUCAAUAUAAAAAAUGAAAAUCACAUUUAUUGAUGAAUUAAGUCAUGGAAAAGUUUUGGAAGAGUUUAACUUUUAAUAGCAAGGCAAAUAUGCGUUAUG
RNAcentral lists this long non-coding RNA (1740 nucleotides) under Canis lupus familiaris (dog). RNAcentral's name for it is "lncRNA (ENSCAFG00040009973.1)". Lineage: Eukaryota; Metazoa; Chordata; Mammalia; Carnivora; Canidae. The record is from RNAcentral.